AGUAACGCGUGGGUAACCUGCCCAUAAGAGGGGGAUAAUCCAUGGAAACGUGGACUAAUACCGCAUAUUGUAGUUAAGUUGCAUGACUUGAUUAUGAAAGAUUUAUCGCUUAUGGAUGGACUCGCGUCAGAUUAGAUAGUUGGUGAGGUAACGGUUCACCAAGUCAACGAUCUGUAGCCGAACUGAGAGGUUGAUCGGCCGCAUUGGGACUGAGACACGGCCCAGACUCCUACGGGAGGCAGCAUG
RNAcentral lists this ribosomal RNA (246 nucleotides) under uncultured bacterium. Its description in RNAcentral is "partial 16S ribosomal RNA". It matches the Rfam family "Bacterial small subunit ribosomal RNA", at positions 109 to 353 of the family's 1533-position model. The record is from RNAcentral.